Molecule: transfer RNA, 72 nt
Filed under: Clydonella sawyeri
Lineage: Eukaryota; Discosea; Flabellinia; Vannellidae
Description: tRNA-Pro
Rfam family: tRNA
About the family: Transfer RNA (tRNA) molecules are approximately 80 nucleotides in length. Their secondary structure includes four short double-helical elements and three loops (D, anti-codon, and T loops).
Source: RNAcentral
UUGGGUAUGGUGUAAUGGUUAGCAUAUAUUUUUUGGGUAGAUAUGAUAUGGGUUCGAAUCCCAUUACCCUGA